UCUUACAUUCCAUUCGGAAUUUUUAAAAGAAACUGUGUCAAAUUUACUGUUCUUUCAAAUUUUAUCCUCAUCCCACAAAGGAGCGUUUCCCAACGGCUCUCAAACUACAGCGAUCCAGAGAAUGUUUGUUAUUUGUUAUGUCACCGUUUAGAAAAAAGCAGAUUUACCGUUGGGAAAAAAGCAGAUUCUACCUCUUUUAAAUGGGCGGAUUAUUUGAGAAGCAGCGCAGACUGUUCUUUCUUUGUUUUUCUUUGUUUAAUUUUAAUGUGUUGUAUGUUUUAUUUGGCAUGGCCAUGCCUCUGUUUUGAGUUCUGCUUUUAAAUUUUCGUUAUGUGUUUUCAGUUUCUGAUCUUUAAUUCUUCUGUUUGUAUUCCAUCGUGUUUGAAUUCUUUUAUUUAUUUAUUUUUCUUGGUAUUUUGUAUAUUUUCUUUCUGUAGGUGGUGAUUUUUUAAUGAGGUAUGGAGGCAGGCAGCAGCAGCAAGGAGAACUGUACAUUCGACCCAGUGGUUAAUUGGAGAUGUGGCCAGAAAAUACUCAGGGAUAGUAUAAGCACUCGCAGUGAUAAGGAGGAGGAGAAAAAUAAGCACUGGCAAUGAUAAGGAGGGGGAGGGGAAAAGAAGCAGAAUUACACAUCACAACUAUCAGGAAUUACACCACACCAUGAGGAGGAGGAAAAAAGAAGCAGAAUUACACAUCACAACUAUCAGGAAUUACAUCAGACAGCAAAGAAUGGCAGGAUCGACUCCCCACAUGAUUCUAGGAUGAAGUCAUUUCAUGCACCCAUUCCAAAUUCCAUAGGGGAUAAUGCAUAAUCAAUUUGAGACAAGAUUUGUGGUUAUUAUCACAAAGCCAUAGUUGUAGUUUUAUGAGAACAAAUUCAGGUCAUAGUUAUAGUUUUUAUUAUGAGGUUGAAUUGAGGCCAUAGCUGUAGUUCUUAGUAUGAAGCCAAACUGGCACCCUAGUUAUUCUUAUUAUGAGGUAUGUGACAAAAUUUGAAAAUUGUAUUUAUUAUUGUAAAGGAAAAAAAUGCACACCCUUACACACUUGCA
Molecule: long non-coding RNA, 1049 nt
Organism: Cryptomeria japonica (Japanese cedar)
Lineage: Eukaryota; Viridiplantae; Streptophyta; Pinopsida; Cupressales; Cupressaceae
Exons: 4
Source: RefSeq, a predicted model, not a curated record